RNAcentral lists this ribosomal RNA (301 nucleotides) under uncultured bacterium. RNAcentral describes it as "partial 16S ribosomal RNA". It matches the Rfam family "Bacterial small subunit ribosomal RNA", at positions 509 to 807 of the family's 1533-position model. The record is from RNAcentral.
CAGCCGCCACGGUAAUACGUAGGGGGCAAGCGUUAUCCGGAUUUACUGGGUGUAAAGGGAGCGCAGACGGCCAAGCAAGUCUGAAGUGAAAUGCAUGGGCUCAACCCAUGAAUUGCUUUGGAAACUGUUAGGCUUGAGUGUCGGAGGGGUAAGCGGAAUUCCUAGUGUAGCGGUGAAAUGCGUAGAUAUUAGGAGGAACACCGGAGGCGAAGGCGGCUUACUGGACGACAACUGACGUUGAGGCUCGAAGGCGUGGGGAGCAAACAGGAUUAGAUACCCCUGUAGUCCCUGUCUCUUAUAC